This is a long non-coding RNA of Pogoniulus pusillus (Red-fronted tinkerbird), 877 nucleotides long. RefSeq lists it as uncharacterized. The transcript has 2 exons. The record is from RefSeq and is a predicted model, not a curated record. Lineage: Eukaryota; Metazoa; Chordata; Aves; Piciformes; Lybiidae.
CCUGCUGCAUUUCCCCCUUUUAUCCCCCAAACCCAGCACACCUGGGUGCUAUUGGAGUCUCCUCCCACCCCAGGUGUGACCUCUUUGCCCUCCCCACCCACUCACUCCUCUUUAUAACAGGCCCGGGAGGGGCAGCAGAGCUAAGUUUGCCCAUCUGGGCAGAGGGAUCCUCCUCCCAUCGUCACUGGUCGUGCCAGUCUAGGCCACCAUACCUUUCAAAGCAUAUCAGCAAGAGUCAAAAACCUGUUUGCACUACGCCUUAGCUACGUAGCUUCUAGGAUUUAUUGAUAGGAAGCAAGCUCGAAGCAGAUGCAUACUGCUGCUGAACAGUAAACCCCGAGACAGUAGACGGAAACCAAGUCCCAGUGACUCAAAGGCCGGGACACCCCUGCGUCCUCGCAACGGCGCCCAUACACCAGGGGCCGGGACUGCGUCCCCGUCACGGCACCGCAGGCUGGGGCACCGGCUGGAGGAAGGAAGCGGGAGUGCCACAGCCACGCGUCCAUACGAGGGGGCAGCAAGGCUGCGGCCGCACGAAGCACGACCGGCUCCCCACCCUCUGCCUUGAAAAUGGGCGCCGCAUCAGCCCCCAGCUGCUGCCCGGGUGAGGUGUGGUGCCGGCCGUGUCCCGCCCGUUCACCGGGACCCACCUGCACAGCAGAGAGGCACAAAGACCAGUAAGCAGAAGAACGACGGCACCACGGUCGCACGCCCCAGGGCCACCGCCGCCAGAUCGCCAUCCAUCCGACCCUCGGCGCAACGGGCGGCCGCACCGUUACCGGAAGCCUCGGGCGGCUGCGCAUGCGCAGGUUGCCGCCGCAACACCCUGCCGGCUACGGUGAGAGUGUCGCUGGGGCUGCGGGAUUGGGGUGUCUGU